Molecule: ribosomal RNA, 979 nt
Filed under: uncultured bacterium
Lineage: Bacteria
Description: bacterial SSU rRNA
Rfam family: Bacterial small subunit ribosomal RNA
Source: RNAcentral
CCAGCCGCCGCGGUAAUACGAAGGGUCCGAGCGUUAUCCGGAAUCAUUGGGUUUAAAGGGUCCGCAGCCGGCCAGAUAAGUCAGUGGUGAAAUUCCGUGGCUCAACCACGGAACUGCCAUUGAUACUGUUUGGCUUGAAUCAGUUCGAGGAUGCCGGAAUGUGUGGUGUAGCGGUGAAAUGCAUAGAUAUCACACGGAACACCAAUUGCGAAGGCAGGUGUCCAGAACUGUAUUGACGCUGAUGGACGAAAGCGUGGGUAGCGAACAGGAUUAGAUACCCUGGUAGUCCACGCCGUAAACGAUGGUCACUAGCUGUCCGGACUUAGGUCUGGGUGGCCAAGCGAAAGUGAUAAGUGACCCACCUGGGGAGUACGUUCGCAAGAAUGAAACUCAAAGGAAUUGACGGGGGCCCGCACAAGCGGUGGAGCAUGUGGUUUAAUUCGAUGAUACGCGAGGAACCUUACCAGGGCUUAAAUGCAUUAUGACAGGGGUGGAGACACCCUUUUCUUCGGACAUUUUGCAAGGUGCUGCAUGGUUGUCGUCAGCUCGUGCCGUGAGGUGUCAGGUUAAGUCCUAUAACGAGCGCAACCCCUGUUGUUAGUUGCCAGCGAGUAAUGUCGGGAACUCUAGCAAGACUGCCGGUGCAAACCGCGAGGAAGGUGGGGAUGACGUCAAAUCAUCACGGCCCUUACGCCCUGGGCCACACACGUGCUACAAUGGCAGGUACAGCAAGCAGCCACUGGGCGACCAGGAGCGAAUCUGUAAAGCCUGUCACAGUUCGGAUCGGAGUCUGCAACUCGACUUCGUGAAGCUGGAAUCGCUAGUAAUCGCAUAUCAGCCAUGAUGCGGUGAAUACGUUCCCGGGCCUUGUACACACCGCCCGUCAAGCCAUGGAAGCUGGGAGUGCCUGAAGUCCGUCGCCGCAAGGAGCGGCCUAGGGUAAGACCGGUAACUGGGGCUAAGUCGUAACAAGGUAGCC